UACGGAGGGAGCUAGCGUUGUUCGGAAUUACUGGGCGUAAAGCGUACGUAGGCGGCUUUGUAAGUAAGAGGUGAAAGCCUGGAGCUCAACUCCAGAACUGCCUUUUAGACUGCAUCGCUUGAAUCCAGGAGAGGUGAGUGGAAUUCCGAGUGUAGAGGUGAAAUUCGUAGAUAUUCGGAAGAACACCAGUGGCGAAGGCGGCUCACUGGACUGGUAUUGACGCUGAGGUACGAAAGCGUGGGGAGCAAAC
RNAcentral lists this ribosomal RNA (250 nucleotides) under uncultured prokaryote. Its description in RNAcentral is "partial 16S ribosomal RNA". It matches the Rfam family "Bacterial small subunit ribosomal RNA", at positions 524 to 773 of the family's 1533-position model. The record is from RNAcentral.